UUGGGAAUAUUGGACAAUGGAGGGAACUCUGAUCCAGUGACGCCGCGUGAAGGAAGAAGGUCUUCGGAUUGUAAACUUAUUUUAUCAGGGAAGAAGAAAGUGACAGUACCUGAAGAAAAAGGACCGGCAAACUACGUGCCAGCAGCCGCGGUAAUACGUAGGGUCCAAGCGUUAUCCGGAUUUACUGGGUGUAAAGGGCGAGUAGACGGCGCUGUAAGUCAGCUGUGAAAACUUAGGGCUCAACCUUAAGCCUGCAGCUGAAACUGUAGUGCUAGAGUGCAGGAGAGGUAAGCGGAAUUCCUAGUGUAGCGGUGAAAUGCGUAGAUAUUAGGAGGAACACCAGUGGCGAAGGCGGCUUACUGGACUGUAACUGACGUUGAGGCGCGAAAGUGUGGGGAGCA
This 401-nucleotide ribosomal RNA is filed under the name uncultured Clostridium sp. RNAcentral's name for it is "bacterial SSU rRNA". It matches the Rfam family "Bacterial small subunit ribosomal RNA", at positions 355 to 770 of the family's 1533-position model. The record is from RNAcentral. Lineage: Bacteria; Bacillati; Bacillota; Clostridia; Eubacteriales; Clostridiaceae.